CAAUAGGCAUAAACUGGACACAGGAGGAACAUAGGAGUCUUUGUCAGAGCAUCAGGAAACACUUCUUCACUGGUUGACCACAGGUCGUCCAAACAGAAUAGUUGAGAUAGAGGGGACUUACAAAAACCAUUGAGUAAAACUAGCAGGCCAUUUCAACUGCCUGACCAGCUCAGGGCUAACAAAAAGUUAAAGCACAUUAUUAAAGACACCAUCUUGAACAUCAGCAGGCACAGAGGUGCCUUUCUUGGAGACAGUCAUAAGCUGCCUGGAUAUGAUCCUUGGCAGCCUGCUCAGAGUGUCCCUUCUUGAGCUUGGGGUUUACCAGUUGAUCCCAAUCCUCAGCCAUUCUGUGAUUCUGUGUUAUGAUACUACUAAGUUUUGCUCUUUGCUAUCCUGUUGCUCUUGCAGACUACAAGGUAACAAAUGAAAUUAAUCUGUUUUUCAGGACAUGGCAUAGGUUUAUUCAUUUCCAGCUAUACGAAGUUCUGUUGAUGUGUAUGUUAAAGUAAAGACAAAACUACAACCGAACUUAUCCUGGCCUAUGAUUGCCUAUUUUCCUACUUUAUUGUUCUUCUCCACUGCUGUGAGUGCAAAGCUUGACUGCUUCUGGUUCUGGGACACCUUGUCUCUCAAAUCUAAAUGUACCCUGAAACAAAUGGUAGCAAAAGUGGAGGGGACUCAUCCAAUGGAAGCAAUAAGAAGGAGGAUUGUUGGAGUAUACUAAUUGGCCACAGGAUACCUAUGCCUUGGCCGUGUGUCGCAGCCUGGAAAAGGCAAACUGAUCUGCACUGUGGAGCCUAGGAGAUGUAUGUAAAAAAGAAUAUAUGAAUUGGCCUUUAAAACAUUUGAGGUGGAAAUUAAAAGGCCGUAUCUGUCCCGGUAAGGAAAUUAAUGAAAUUGCUUCCUAAGGCAAUUUAGAGAAAAGAACACUAACAAAAGAAAAUGGAGUAUAGCUGCAUGAUUAUCAAGUUUACAGCAGCUGGCGGUGGGAUUUAAAGAUCUGGCAGCUUCUCUCACGUCCUCUGUUAUUACACUUACAGCAGUUCUUUUGAGAAUCUUGCAGUUCCUGGGAAAAUAUUCUUAUUGGUGAUUUGUUAUCUUGUAUGCUUCUGUGUACUUAGACCUGAUUUUUCUGUCCUCUAAGAAGCUCAUCAGUUCUUGAAUACAUGUAUGAAGAAAAAAAAUUCUUAAGGUUGUAAAAGUUUAUUUUAUAUCCUUCAGAAAGUAUAUAAAAGAUGUUUUUCUUGUUUUGUUGUUUGUUUUCUUGUUUUGUUGGUUCAUUUUCCAGUGCUGAGCUCUUUCCAAAAUGCUGAGCAUUUCUGCACAAAACUUUGAUUUGAUCAAGUUUAAGCUUUCAUGAGAUUCCAGGGCCAUCUGCUAUAUUACCACUGUCUAAAUUAAAUAUUUCCAAGUAUACUCUUUUAUUAUUUAUUGCUGUGUAUUGUAGUUUAUUAGAGUAGCCUGACAUUCACUCCCUUUCUAGAAUUGUCAAUUUCACCUUUUUCAGUUGGAAUCAGUAGGAAAUAAAAGGUUCUUUCACUCAUCA
RNAcentral lists this long non-coding RNA (1546 nucleotides) under Coturnix japonica (Japanese quail). RNAcentral's name for it is "lncRNA (ENSCJPG00005001696.1)". The record is from RNAcentral. Lineage: Eukaryota; Metazoa; Chordata; Aves; Galliformes; Phasianidae.